Long non-coding RNA from Bombus terrestris (buff-tailed bumblebee), 436 nucleotides. RefSeq lists it as uncharacterized. The transcript has 2 exons. The record is from RefSeq and is a predicted model, not a curated record. NCBI's taxonomy places the organism in Eukaryota, Metazoa, Arthropoda, Insecta, Hymenoptera, Apidae.
GUGGAUUUUUAGAUUAACUAAUUGCCGGUAUGUGUUGCUUCAUUAGUAAUCGAUGCAUCGUAAACCCUAUCAUGGUGGUCUAAACCUUCAGGUAAAAUACAGAAAAGUCAGUACAUCCCAGGACAUCACAGAGAAUAAUUUAAAAGACGACUGCAUUCUAAAAAUUUCUUCAACCUGCAAAUACUACUUUCAAGCGUGACAUUAUUCUCAGUAAAACAAAUGUAAAUUUUAUAUUAUAUUCUUUAUAUCAUAUUGCACAUCUGUAUGUAACAACUUGUCAUAUACACAAUAUAUACAUUAUACAAUAAUAUACACAUUUAAAGGAGUCAUACAUUCAAUACAGCAUAGCUUACAAAUAAUACAUACUACUAUAGUAUAAAUAUAAACAUAAUGUAAAUCACUGCGUAUUUUCUGAAUUUCAUUGAAUAAUUCAAUA